CAUAGGUUAAUGAGGCGAACCGGGGGAACUGAAACAUCUAAGUACCCCGAGGAAAAGAAAUCAACCGAGAUUCCCCCAGUAGCGGCGAGCGAACGGGGAGGAGCCCAGAGCCUGAAUCAGUGUGUGUGUUAGUGGAAGCGUCUGGAAAGGCGCGCGAUACAGGGUGACAGCCCCGUACACAAAAAUGCACAUACUGUGAGCUCGAUGAGUAGGGCGGGACACGUGGUAUCCUGUCUGAAUAUGGGGGGACCAUCCUCCAAGGCUAAAUACUCCUGACUGACCGAUAGUGAACCAGUACCGUGAGGGAAAGGCGAAAAGAACCCCGGCGAGGGGAGUGAAAAAGAACCUGAAACCGUGUACGUACAAGCAGUGGGAGCCUCUUAAUGGGGUGACUGCGUACCUUUUGUAUAAUGGGUCAGCGACUUAUAUUCUGUAGCAAGGUUAACCGAAUAGGGGAGCCGAAGGGAAACCGAGUCUUAACUGGGCGUUAAGUUGCAGGGUAUAGACCCGAAACCCGGUGAUCUAGCCAUGGGCAGGUUGAAGGUUGGGUAACACUAACUGGAGGACCGAACCGACUAAUGUUGAAAAAUUAGCGGAUGACUUGUGGCUGGGGGUGAAAGGCCAAUCAAACCGGGAGAUAGCUGGUUCUCCCCGAAAGCUAUUUAGGUAGCGCCUCGUGAAUUCAUCUCCGGGGGUAGAGCACUGUUUCGGCAAGGGGGUCAUCCCGACUUACCAACCCGAUGCAAACUGCGAAUACCGGAGAAUGUUAUCACGGGAGACACACGGCGGGUGCUAACGUCCGUCGUGAAGAGGGAAACAACCCAGACCGCCAGCUAAGGUCCCAAAGUCAUGGUUAAGUGGGAAACGAUGUGGGAAGGCCCAGACAGCCAGGAUGUUGGCUUAGAAGCAGCCAUCAUUUAAAGAAAGCGUAAUAGCUCACUGGUCGAGUCGGCCUGCGCGGAAGAUGUAACGGGGCUAAACCAUGCACCGAAGCUGCGGCAGCGACGCUUAUGCGUUGUUGGGUAGGGGAGCGUUCUGUAAGCCUGUGAAGGUGGCCUGUGAGGGUUGCUGGAGGUAUCAGAAGUGCGAAUGCUGACAUAAGUAACGAUAAAGCGGGUGAAAAGCCCGCUCGCCGGAAGACCAAGGGUUCCUGUCCAACGUUAAUCGGGGCAGGGUGAGUCGACCCCUAAGGCGAGGCCGAAAGGCGUAGUCGAUGGGAAACAGGUUAAUAUUCCUGUACUUGGUGUUACUGCGAAGGGGGGACGGAGAAGGCUAUGUUGGCCGGGCGACGGUUGUCCCGGUUUAAGCGUGUAGGCUGGUUUUCCAGGCAAAUCCGGAAAAUCAAGGCUGAGGCGUGAUGACGAGGCACUACGGUGCUGAAGCGACAAAUGCCCUGCUUCCAGGAAAAGCCUCUAAGCAUCAGGUAACAUUAAAUCGUACCCCAAACCGACACAGGUGGUCAGGUAGAGAAUACCAAGGCGCUUGAGAGAACUCGGGUGAAGGAACUAGGCAAAAUGGUGCCGUAACUUCGGGAGAAGGCACGCUGAUAUGUAGGUGAAGCGACUUGCUCGUGGAGCUGAAAUCAGUCGAAGAUACCAGCUGGCUGCAACUGUUUAUUAAAAACACAGCACUGUGCAAACACGAAAGUGGACGUAUACGGUGUGACGCCUGCCCGGUGCCGGAAGGUUAAUUGAUGGGGUUAGCGGUAACGCGAAGCUCUUGAUCGAAGCCCCGGUAAACGGCGGCCGUAACUAUAACGGUCCUAAGGUAGCGAAAUUCCUUGUCGGGUAAGUUCCGACCUGCACGAAUGGCGUAAUGAUGGCCAGGCUGUCUCCACCCGAGACUCAGUGAAAUUGAACUCGCUGUGAAGAUGCAGUGUACCCGCGGCAAGACGGAAAGACCCCGUGAACCUUUACUAUAGCUUGACACUGAACAUUGAGCCUUGAUGUGUAGGAUAGGUGGGAGGCUUUGAAGUGUGGACGCCAGUCUGCAUGGAGCCGACCUUGAAAUACCACCCUUUAAUGUUUGAUGUUCUAACGUGGGCCCCUUACCGGGGUUGCGGACAGUGUCUGGUGGGUAGUUUGACUGGGGCGGUCUCCUCCUAAAGAGUAACGGAGGAGCACGAAGGUUGGCUAAUCCUGGUCGGACAUCAGGAGGUUA
This 2160-nucleotide ribosomal RNA is filed under the name Escherichia coli. RNAcentral's name for it is "partial 23S ribosomal RNA". It matches the Rfam family "Bacterial large subunit ribosomal RNA", at positions 165 to 2348 of the family's 2925-position model. The record is from RNAcentral. Lineage: Bacteria; Pseudomonadati; Pseudomonadota; Gammaproteobacteria; Enterobacterales; Enterobacteriaceae.